RNAcentral lists this ribosomal RNA (119 nucleotides) under Triticum aestivum (bread wheat). The record is from RNAcentral. Lineage: Eukaryota; Viridiplantae; Streptophyta; Magnoliopsida; Poales; Poaceae.
GGAUGCGAUCAUAGCAGCACUAAAGCACCGGAUCCCAACAGAACUCCGAAGUUAAGCGUGCUUGGGUGAGAGUAAUACUAGGAUGGGUGACCUCGUGGGAAGUCCUCGUGUUGCAUUCC